AACGCGAAGAACCUUACCCAGAUUUGACAUACAGAGGACGAUGUUAGAAAUAACAUUUCCCUUCGGGGCCUCUGAACAGGUGCUGCAUGGCUGUCGUCAGCUCGUGCCGUGAGGUGUUUGGUUAAGUCCAGCAACGAGCGCAACCCUUAUCGUUAGUUGCCAGCAUUUUAGGUGGGCACUCUAGCGAGACUGCCUGGGUUAACCAGGAGGAAGGUGAGGAUGACGUCAAGUCCGCAUGGCCCUUAUAUCUGGGGCAACACACGUGCUACAAUGGUCGGUACAGAAGGCAGCGAAACCGCGAGGUGAAGCAAAUCCCUAAAGCCGAUCCCAGUUCAGAUUGUAGUCUGCAACUCGACUACAUGAAGUUGGAAUUGCUAGUAAUGGCAGGUCAGCACACUGCCGUGAAUACGUUCCCGGGCCUUGUACACACCGAGUAUA
This 438-nucleotide ribosomal RNA is filed under the name uncultured bacterium. Its description in RNAcentral is "bacterial SSU rRNA". It matches the Rfam family "Bacterial small subunit ribosomal RNA", at positions 958 to 1398 of the family's 1533-position model. The record is from RNAcentral.